Long non-coding RNA from Gasterosteus aculeatus aculeatus (three-spined stickleback), 270 nucleotides. The record is from Ensembl. NCBI's taxonomy places the organism in Eukaryota, Metazoa, Chordata, Actinopteri, Perciformes, Gasterosteidae.
UUUCUCUCUCAGGUGGAGGCGACAAAAAGCCACGGAGACGAAUCCGGCUGCCAGUGGAGCUUUGUAUCAGCGACUGUGCUUUUGAUGACUGCUGUCCCGUCACAGCGUGACUCCGAAUGAGAGGGAUUGAAUCUCUCGCGCUGAUGCCAAGCUGCUCGGCAGAGCUGUGACUAUGUAAACACACUCUCACUUUCUUUCCACUUUAGUGUAUUUGGAGUUAUUCACACGAGGGACAAAUACUCUGGAACACCUGCGAUGGUCAGAAUGUUU